This is a non-coding RNA of Neolamprologus brichardi, 110 nucleotides long. The record is from RefSeq and is a predicted model, not a curated record. NCBI's taxonomy places the organism in Eukaryota, Metazoa, Chordata, Actinopteri, Cichliformes, Cichlidae.
AUCCAAGUCCAGCUAGAUUUUGAUUCAUAACAAGGAAUUUGUUCAUUGGGGUUUUAUGCUUAGGCAUUUGAUCAACACUGAAGACACAAUAUGAUCCUCAUUUUGGAUGA